This is a long non-coding RNA of Cyprinus carpio (common carp), 245 nucleotides long. RefSeq lists it as uncharacterized. NCBI's taxonomy places the organism in Eukaryota, Metazoa, Chordata, Actinopteri, Cypriniformes, Cyprinidae. The record is from RefSeq and is a predicted model, not a curated record. The transcript has 4 exons.
ACACAUUACAAUGUGAGGUUUUAUUUCACAUGUGUAUCAGAGGGAGAUCAGGAGUAUGAUGAUGUGAAGAACAGCAAUGAAGAUGAGAGAAACCUGUUAGAUUAUGAUGAUGUCAUCACCACUGAACACAACUCUGAUAUUAAAGUGGACACUCCAGAGCAUUAUGAUGAUGUCAUCAUUAAUGGACAGGACUCUCAAGAUGUAACAGAGGGAGAUCAGGAGGAGUAUGAUGAUGUGAAGCACAG